Long non-coding RNA from Poeciliopsis prolifica (blackstripe livebearer), 332 nucleotides. RefSeq lists it as uncharacterized. The transcript is spliced from 3 exons. The record is from RefSeq and is a predicted model, not a curated record. NCBI's taxonomy places the organism in Eukaryota, Metazoa, Chordata, Actinopteri, Cyprinodontiformes, Poeciliidae.
GAACCAGAACCUGAUGUGGUAUAUAAAUAUAACAUUUUCAAAUCUCUCAACUCAUUUGAAAUUUGAACUGAAUUUUUUGUUUUUUAAAAGGUUCAGGUUAUGCACCAAGUUGAAGAAGAUGAAAUAAAUCCCAACAUAUUUAGUUGUGUUGUUAAUUGCACCUGUCCCUCCUCCUGUUGUCAUCCUUCUCCUCAUCCACUCAUAUUUUACAUAGUGGCAUUUUCUUCCUCUCUCACCAUUGGGUUCAUCCUUAUUUUUAAAGACAAAAUCAAUAAACUGACCGAACAAAUGAAAGAACAAGAAGAGAAAGAGAAUCAGUUAAAGACCAGAGU